AUGGCAGCGCCGCCGCGCAUCCGCAUCUCGCCGCCGGCGCUCCCGGGCGAGCUCGUCGAAGAGAUCCUCCUAUGCCUCCCGCCCGACGAACCAACCUGCCUCCUCCGCGCAUCCCUCGUCUGCAAGAGCUGGGGCGGCAUCGUCUCCCACCCCGCCUUCCGCCGCCAGCUCCACGAGUUCCACCGCACACCCCCCGUGCUCGGCGUCCUCCACAACUGGUACGACGAGGAGAUUCCCCGCUUCAUCCCCACUACCGCCUCCUCCUUCUCCCUCGCCGCCCCGGACGGCCGCUUUUGGCGGGCCCUCGACUGCCGCCACGGCCGCGCCCUCUUCCUCUCCAAGGGCCUGGGCGCCAACGAACUCCUCGUGUGGGAGCCAAUCACGGGCGCCCAGCAACGCGUACAGGUCCUCGCAGCCGCGGCCUUGAGUGACUAUCCGACGGCGGCCGUGUUCUGCGCAUCGGACGGGUACGACCACCACGGCUGCCUAGGGGGUCCUUUCCGCGUGGUCUUCACCUUCUCCGUCUACGACGGGGAUGAGCUUACUGUCACGUCGGCAUGUGUAUACUCGUCGGAGACUGGGGGGAGCUAA
This 591-nucleotide ribosomal RNA is filed under the name Triticum aestivum (bread wheat). RNAcentral describes it as "partial small subunit ribosomal RNA". The record is from RNAcentral. Lineage: Eukaryota; Viridiplantae; Streptophyta; Magnoliopsida; Poales; Poaceae.